Molecule: ribosomal RNA, 250 nt
Filed under: uncultured bacterium
Lineage: Bacteria
Description: partial 16S ribosomal RNA
Rfam family: Bacterial small subunit ribosomal RNA
Source: RNAcentral
UACGUAGGUGGCAAGCGUUGUCCGGAUUUAUUGGGUUUAAAGGGUGCGUAGGCGGUCCUGUAAGUCAGUUGUGAAAUACGGCAGCUUAACUGUCGAGGUGCAAUUGAUACUGCGGGACUAGAGUACUGAUGAGGUAAGCGGAAUGGACGGUGUAGCGGUGAAAUGCUUAGAUAUCGUCCAGAACACCGAUAGCGAAGGCAGCUUACUAAGGAGUAACUGACGCUGAGGCACGAAAGUGUGGGGAUCAAAC